UUGGCCACCUCCUCUUCUUUCUUGUCCUUGAAUAGAGAAUGUUUCCUUAUUCUCAUAACAAACUUUGCCAGAUGUAUGACAAACACUCCCACAGAAAUCCUCCCUUUUUUCCUUUGAUUCUCUCUUUCUCUAGCCUUCUUCUUCCAAGAAAGGUGUUACCCAUCUAUCCUAAGUUGCUGCAGAAUGCUGCUGAUGGAUUGUAUACUCUAAGAGGACCUGAAAAUAAAAACAAAACAAAACAAAACAGGUGAUUAAAGCAAACAGAGGUUAAAUGACUUUCCCAGUGUCACACACUUGCUCCUGCUGCCUGUUCCUGCCUCCAUCCAUCUGCUUAGGACCUGCUUGACCCAGAUCACUCUCUCACCCCAGCCCCAGCAACUCUACUCCUCUGAGCCAGAUCAUCUCAGGCCAGCCCUAGGACCCAGGCUGCUGGUAGGUGCCCCUGUGUCUUCAGAAUCACAAACCAACUGGUAAAAACUGGGGUGUUCUUUCCUUAGGCAAAAAUUAGCCUUCAUGUGGCAGGGGACGGUGGGGUAGGGAGGACGAGGAGAAGGAAGAGACUUUUCCAAACAGGAAGUUGAUUACUAAUAUGGCAUAUUCUAUGAGAGAGCAGUGCAGUGUGUAUUUCAAAGGAUAUUUUUGGAGUGCACUGAUCCUUUUAUGUAUUUUACCCGAGAUUCAGGGGAUAAAUUCAUCUCCCUGCAACUCUUUGCCAUUUGGACCUGCCCAAUUUGAGAUUCCUAAAACCCAUGUUCUUCCUUGAUAUGGGAAAUUCCACAGUACUGACAAAAGGAAUCUCAACAGAUAAAAAAAAAGAACUUUAAAGAGACUGGAGGUUAUAUUUUUAAGGCUUUUCAGACUCCAAUGUUUUAUAAACAUCUCUGUAUUUUAUUGCAUUUUGCAGAUUCUUUGUUUAAAAUUUAAUUUUGUGGUUUUUAAGUUCAUAUAUUAAUAUAUUCAAUACCAUUUUUGUUACACUGAAUCAUUUUAAUGUACUGGGUUUUAACUACUGUUAUAUUCUGUUUAUUUCCCCCCUAUAACUAUACUAAACAAAUAUUAUUGAAUAAGUCCAUAUACAAAAACAGCCUUUUCUAUUUUGGCUUUGUAAAUUGUCACAUUGAGGAUGGAUGGACUUCAUCAAAACUGGUUAAAAUUGUAUAACAACCUUUAGAAAAUUUAAUGAGCUAAAUAUCUCAAAUUGAUUUUAAGGGGUCUUUAGACAUGAUUUUUAGAUUUUUUUCAACAACUCUGAUCAUUUUGCCUGCCUCUAAUAGGAGGUAAGAUUCAUUUUAG
RNAcentral lists this long non-coding RNA (1293 nucleotides) under Monodelphis domestica (gray short-tailed opossum). RNAcentral describes it as "lncRNA (ENSMODG00000049532.1)". The record is from RNAcentral. Lineage: Eukaryota; Metazoa; Chordata; Mammalia; Didelphimorphia; Didelphidae.